AUUUCGGAAUUUCAAUCUGGCGUUGGUGAGGGGACGCGUGCAUUUGAGAGAGUAAUCGGCGAACCAUUGGAACAAAACCUUCCAAAAUUUUGAAGCCUUCGAGGAGGCUGCGCUUCCAUACGAAGAAUCCAUCGCCAACCUCCAACUCUCAACGAUUUCGCACCGUCUCUUCGCGAUCAUCGUCCAAUUUUCCACUUCAUCCACGGUAUUUUUCAUCUUCCACUUCUGCUUCUCCAUCUCUCUCUCUCUCUCUCUCUCUCUCUCUCUAUAACCCUCUUUCCUUUUCGCUCCAGAUUAAACCCCCAAUUUCCCCGCUUCUUUCGAUUUCCCGGCAAAAUUAAAUUUCGUUUCUAGGGUUUUUUGAACCCCAGGAACUGGAGCCCCUCAGUGGGUUAUCCCUCGCCUUUGAUUGAUCGAGUCUUUGCCGAGUAUAGUUGGAGGUUUGAAGUCUGAAUUGAUUUUCUGGAUAAUGGGUUUUGGUUGUUUUUGUGUUUGAUUUAAUGGGUACUGUGGCCAUCGCUCGAAUUUGAGAUGAGAUGGCUGGCUUCAUUUGCGAGGUCGGUUAUGUUAUUUCUCUGUCUUCGCAUGUUCCUAUUCUACGGUAGAUUUAUGGGUUUAAUGAGAUUGUUGUUUUGUUGUUGCUGAGUGGUUGAUCUCUUCUAGUCAGAGCUUUCACUCACCUGGUUGGAACGGAUAUAGAGUUUGUAAAAUAAGUUCUGAUUAAACAUUAACUGUGUUCAUAUGGAUAAUGAAGUGAUUGAGUUUGAUAUUGGAUUGGGAGGAGGCAGUGGGAGGGAGGGAGAUGACUAUUCUAUUGGUAUGGUGCAUCAUUCCAUUGAGGAUGAAGAAAUGGUUGAUAGCCCUCCUCUGAGUAGCCUUGGUGGUGGCGCUGGCAGUGGUGAGAUAUAUCUUCCUGAGGGUGAUCUUUUGGAUCUUGAACCUUAUGAAGGAAUGGAAUUCGAGUCUGAAGAGGCUGCCAAAGCUUUCUAUAAUUCAUAUGCUCGACGUGUUGGGUUCAGUACUCGUGUCAGCUCGUCCCGUCGGUCUAGGCGCGAUGGAGCGAUUAUACAAAGGCAAUUUGUUUGUGCCAAAGAGGGUUUCAGGAAUAUGAAUGAGAAGCGAACUAAAGAUAGAGAAAUUAAGCGCCCUCGAACGAUCACUAGAGUGGGUUGCAAAGCAUCCUUGUCUGUAAAGAUGCACGAUUCUGGGAAAUGGGUUGUCUCUGGAUUUGUUAGAGAGCAUAAUCAUGAGUUAGUUCCUCCUGAUCAGGUGCACUGCUUGCGGUCUCAUAGGCAAAUAUCAGGUCCAGCAAAGACCUUAAUUGAUACUUUACAGGCUGCUGGGAUGGGUCCUCGUAGGAUUAUGUCGGCACUGAUAAAGGAGUAUGGAGGAAUCAGUAAAGUUGGAUUUACUGAGGUUGAUUGUCGAAAUUAUAUGAGGAAUAAUCGCCAAAGGAGCUUAGAAGGAGACAUUCAGCUGCUUUUGGAUUACUUGAGGCAAAUGCAUUCUGAAAAUCCGAACUUCUUCUAUGCGGUGCAGGGUGAGGAGGAUCAGUGUGUGGGCAAUGUCUUUUGGGCCGAUCCAAAGGCUCGGAUGAACUAUACUUACUUUGGGGAUACCGUUACAUUUGACACUACCUAUAGGUCAAACAGAUAUCGUCUGCCCUUUGCUCCUUUCACCGGGGUGAAUCAUCAUGGACAGCCCGUGUUAUUUGGCUGUGCUUUUCUAAUAAAUGAAUCUGAAGCAUCAUUCAAUUGGCUAUUUAGAACGUGGCUUUUGGCAAUGUCUGGUCGCCCACCUGUGUCAAUUACUACCGAUCAUGAUGCAAUAAUACAGUCAGCCAUUACACAAGUUUUCCCUGAGACCCGUCACCGUUUCUGCAAAUGGCAUAUUUUCAAGAAAUGCCAGGAGAUGCUUUCUCAUGUGUUUCUGAAACACCCAAGCUUUGAAGCUGACUUCCACAAAUGUGUAAAUUUGACCGACUCUAUCGAGGAAUUUGAGUCCUGCUGGCUGUCACUUGUUGACAGAUAUGAUCUCAGGGAUCAUGAGUGGCUUCAAACAAUUUACUCUGCUCGGAGGCAGUGGGUUCCGGUGUAUUUGCGGGAUACUUUUUUCGCUGAAAUGUCUAUUACCCAGCGAAGUGAUAGCAUGAAUUCAUAUUUUGAUGGGUACGUGAAUGCUUCGACCAAUUUGAGUCAGUUCUUCAAACUGUAUGAAAAAGCUUUAGAGAGUCGGAAUGAGAAAGAAGUGAAAGCAGAUUAUGAUACAAUGAACACUUCCCCUGUUCUAAAAACUCCAUCUCCAAUGGAAAAACAGGUUUCUGAGCUUUACACCAGGAAGCUGUUCUCAAGAUUCCAAGAGGAGUUAGUUGGCACAUUAACUUUUAUGGCGUCGAAGGCUGAUGACGAUGGGGAAAUUAUAACAUAUCAAGUGGCCAAAUUUGGCGAGGAUCAUAAAGCUCACUAUGUGAAAUUCAAUGUUUUGGAGAUGAGAGCAAGUUGUAGUUGCCAGAUGUUCGAGUUCUCAGGCCUUCUGUGCGGACAUAUCUUGGCUGUCUUCAGAGUGACCAAUGUUCUUACACUUCCAUCUUAUUACAUUUUGAAGCGAUGGACAAGAAAUGCAAAGAGUAACGUGAUGUUGGAUGACCAUGUGAAUGAUAUCUAUAACAACUAUCUUGAAUCUCAUACUGUGAGAUACAAUACCCUACGCCACGAGGCUUUUAAAUUCAUCGAGGAAGGAGCAAAGACUGUGGAUACGUAUAAUGUGGCAAAAGAUGCCCUUCAAGAGGCUGCAAAAAGGGUUGCUCAUACAACGAGGAAUGAUGGGAAAAAUUAUACAAUCAAUGGGCGUAUUAAAAUGGACCCUGGAAACGACAGAAGCUAUACAUAUCAUAGUAGUAGCAGGAAUCACGACGAGAUAUUGAGUAAAAACAUGUCGGAGGAUGACUUGGACAAGAAAAUCAACGAGCUUACCAAUGAAUUGGAGUGUGCAAAUCGGAAGUGCGACGUUUACCGGUCUAACCUUUUUUCAAUGCUGAAAGACAUUGAGGACCACAAACUGCAAUUAUCUAUUAAAGUGCAGAACAUAAAAAUUAGUAUGAAAGAUAGCAUUUGAAGGUGUAGUAGACGUAUAUAGUGAGUCCUCGUCUCAUCUCAAUACCAAAUAAAUUUCUAACCUCGGUCUCAUCGAGAAGUACGUUAGUAAUGGGGAUGUAAACCUGUUUUUUGUCGAGUAUUUGAUUGAUUCUCCCCUACCUGUAUGCAACAAUUUAGAGGUGAUAGUUUCUUGAUUUACUGUCACUGGAGAUCAAUCACCGUGUUUCUAUUUUCACUGCAAGAUUUUUCUGGCCAUCCAAUGGGGUCCUCAUUGCAGUAUGAUACUCCCUCAAUGGUGCCAGAAACAUACAGUUAUCUUGUUAAUCUUCUUGUUCUUCGCAUUUGAGUUCGCAAAGUCUAAAACGAAGAUUACACGGGAAGAUAAUAGCUGACUUUGAAGAUAGUGGCGAUGUUCAUCUUAUUGCUGGCUUACCUAUUCAGAUCAGUAUCCUUUUCCACAUCAAUUUCUGAGUUGAAAACUGCUGAUAUAUAUAUAUAUAUAUAUAUAUAUGUUUAUCUUAUUGCUGUCUUGAUUUGGGUAGCAAAUAAGGAAUGCCAGUAGCCUUUUAACUGAAUGUACAGGAAAUUCUUUGUAGAUUUGGUAGUAUUUUUGGUAUGGUGAUGAAGUAAGCUGUAGUCUGUUCAGAAAGAUGUAAUUGGUUAGCUGCUCAGUGGUCAGUGGUAGCAAACUAGUUGUAGUUUUAUAUCAUUUUCGUUGAUCUGUUUCUUGGGUUUGAUUUCUGGUUCCAAAGAAAUUUUGAGCUGAAAUUGAAACAGGAAACAGAAUAACUAGUUCUUGUUCUUGUUCUACUAGUUCUUGUUCUUGUUCUUGGUCUUGGUAGAGACAAAGAGACAAGAUGGUUGAAAUAAAUGAACAAAUUCAUGGAUUUGGCUGUC
This is a non-coding RNA of Cucurbita pepo subsp. pepo (vegetable marrow), 3992 nucleotides long. The record is from RefSeq and is a predicted model, not a curated record. NCBI's taxonomy places the organism in Eukaryota, Viridiplantae, Streptophyta, Magnoliopsida, Cucurbitales, Cucurbitaceae.